AGCGAACGCUGGCGGCAGGCCUAACACAUGCAAGUCGAACGAACUCUUCGGAGUUAGUGGCGGACGGGUGAGUAACACGUGGGAACGUGCCUUUUGGUUCGGAAUAACUCAGGGAAACUUGUGCUAAUACCGAAUGCGCCCUUCGGGGGAAAGAUUUAUCGCCAUUAGAGCGGCCCGCGUCUGAUUAGCUAGUUGGUGAGGUAACGGCUCACCAAGGCGACGAUCAGUAGCUGGUCUGAGAGGAUGACCAGCCACACUGGGACUGAGACGCGGCCCAGACUCCUACGGGAGGCAGCAGUGGGGAAUCUUGCGCAAUGGGCGAAAGCCUGACGCAGCCAUGCCGCGUGAAUGAUGAAGGUCUUAGGAUUGUAAAAUUCUUUCACCGGGGACGAUAAUGACGGUACCCGGAGAAGAAGCCCCGGCUAACUUCGUG
Molecule: ribosomal RNA, 433 nt
Filed under: uncultured bacterium
Lineage: Bacteria
Description: partial 16S ribosomal RNA
Rfam family: Bacterial small subunit ribosomal RNA
Source: RNAcentral